CUGAGGAGGAAAGGCCGCGCAAGCGGCUGCUCGUGGAGGGGCCCGCGGCCUAUCAGCUAGUUGGUGAGGUAACGGCUCACCAAGGCGACGACGGGUCGCUGGUCUGAGAGGACGACCAGCCACACGGGGACUGAGACACGGCCCCGACUCCUACGGGAGGCAGCAGUGGGGAAUUUUCCGCAAUGGGCGCAAGCCUGACGGAGUGACGCCGCGUGGGGGACGAAGGCCUUCGGGUCGUAAACCCCUGUCAGAGGGAAAGACGGGUGUCGGCGUGCACAGCGCCGGCAUCUGACGGUACCUUCAGAGGAAGCCCCGGCCAACUCUGUGCCAGCAGCCGCGGUAAGACAGAGGGGGCAAGCGUUGCUCGGAAUUACUGGGCGUAAAGGGCGUGUAGGCGGAGCGGCAAGUCGGUCGUGAAAGCCUCCGGCUCAACUGGAGAACGUCGAUCGAUACUGCCGCCCUUGAGGGUAGCAGAGGAGACUGGAAUUCCCGGUGUAGCGGUGAAAUGUGUAGAGAUCGGGAGGAACACCGGUGGCGAAGGCGGGUCUCUGGGCUACUCCUGACGCUGAGGCGCG
Molecule: ribosomal RNA, 575 nt
Filed under: uncultured bacterium
Lineage: Bacteria
Description: bacterial SSU rRNA
Rfam family: Bacterial small subunit ribosomal RNA
Source: RNAcentral